Molecule: long non-coding RNA, 143 nt
Organism: Phyllostomus discolor (pale spear-nosed bat)
Lineage: Eukaryota; Metazoa; Chordata; Mammalia; Chiroptera; Phyllostomidae
Exons: 2
Source: RefSeq, a predicted model, not a curated record
AGAGGAAAGGCAACAUAUAGACUCCACUUCCAUGGACACCUUCUAAGUGUAAUCUGGCAACAACAUAAGGUUUAUAUUUGUCUGGCAGGUAUGAGGGAUCAAACCCUCAUUGUCUUUUGGAUCAGACAACACCUCUAUUUUGA